RNAcentral lists this ribosomal RNA (96 nucleotides) under Citrobacter freundii. The record is from RNAcentral. Lineage: Bacteria; Pseudomonadati; Pseudomonadota; Gammaproteobacteria; Enterobacterales; Enterobacteriaceae.
UCUGGCGGCUGUAGCGCGGUGGUCCCACCUGACCCCAUGCCGAACUCAGAAGUGAAACGCCGUAGCGCCGAUGGUAGUGGUAGGGAACUGCCAGAC